Molecule: ribosomal RNA, 497 nt
Filed under: uncultured bacterium
Lineage: Bacteria
Description: partial 16S ribosomal RNA
Rfam family: Bacterial small subunit ribosomal RNA
Source: RNAcentral
GACGAACGCUGGCGGCGUGCCUAAUACAUGCAAGUUGAGCGCUGAAGGUUGGUACUUGUACCAACUGGAUGAGCAGCGAACGGGUGAGUAACGCGUGGGGAAUCUGCCUUUGAGCGGGGGACAACAUUUGGAAACGAAUGCUAAUACCGCAUAAAAACUUUAAACACAAGUUUUAAGUUUGAAAGAUGCAAUUGCAUCACUCAAAGAUGAUCCCGCGUUGUAUUAGCUAGUUGGUGAGGUAAAGGCUCACCAAGGCGAUGAUACAUAGCCGACCUGAGAGGGUGCUCGGCCACGUUGGGACUGAGACACGGCCCAAACUCCUACGGGAGGCAGCAGUAGGGAAUCUUCGGCAAUGGACGAAAGUCUGACCGAGCAACGCCGCGUGAGUGAAGAAGGUUUUCGGAUCGUAAAACUCUGUUGGUAGAGAAGAACGUUGGUGAGAGUGGAAAGCUCAUCAAGUGACGGUAACUACCCAGAAAGGGACGGCUAACUACGUG